This 253-nucleotide ribosomal RNA is filed under the name uncultured Blastopirellula sp. RNAcentral describes it as "partial 16S ribosomal RNA". It matches the Rfam family "Bacterial small subunit ribosomal RNA", at positions 524 to 776 of the family's 1533-position model. The record is from RNAcentral. Lineage: Bacteria; Pseudomonadati; Planctomycetota; Planctomycetia; Pirellulales; Pirellulaceae.
GACGAACCGUGCAAACGUUAUUCGGAAUCACUGGGCUUAAAGCGUGCGUAGGCGGCUAAGAAAGUUGGGUGUGAAAUCCCUCGGCUCAACCGAGGAAUUGCGCUCAAAACUACUUAGCUUGAGGGAGUUAGAGGUGAGCGGAACUAAUGGUGGAGCGGUGAAAUGCGUUGAUAUCAUUAGGAACACCGGUGGCGAAAGCGGCUCACUGGGACUCUUCUGACGCUGAGGCACGAAAGCUAGGGGAGCGAACGGG